CAGCCAAAGCCUUGUUGAGUUCCAAUACGAAAUCCCUAUAAUACCUAACGUAUUUCCUAAGAGGUGCAUCAGGCGGUGCAACCACUGAUCCAUUCCAUAGGGUGUUGUCAUAUCCAAUUAGUCCGCCAACUUUGACCAGGUCGAUUAAUCUCAUUGUGAUAGUUUAAAUAAUUGUCUUUGUCAGCAUCCACGAAUAUGAAAUCAUAUGAUCCAUGGUAUUUGCCCUGUUACAAAAGUGAUGAACAAUCAUUAAUUUUAACUAUCAUAGACAAGCUUCUAAUUUGUUCAUUUGGUAUUUAGGUACGUACGUCUUCAAUCAUUUGGUCAAGAACGGGAAGUGCAGGUCCUUCUUUGAAUUCAAUUUUGUGAGCUAGUCCAGCUUUUUCAAUUACUGGAAGACCAAUCUCGUAGUUGUCCCGGUUGAUAUCCAUGGCUAAAAU
RNAcentral lists this long non-coding RNA (440 nucleotides) under Nicotiana benthamiana. RNAcentral describes it as "long non-coding RNA (NBEN_LNC031331)". The record is from RNAcentral. Lineage: Eukaryota; Viridiplantae; Streptophyta; Magnoliopsida; Solanales; Solanaceae.